CAGUAGCCGCGGUAAGACAGAGGAUGCAAGCGUUAUCCGGAAUGAUUGGGCGUAAAGCGUCUGUAGGUGGCUUUUCAAGUCCGCCGUCAAAUCCCAGGGCUCAACCCUGGACAGGCGGUGGAAACUACCAAGCUGGAGUACGGUAGGGGCAGAGGGAAUUUCCGGUGGAGCGGUGAAAUGCGUAGAUAUGCGGAGGAACACCGAUGGCGAAGGCAACCCCCUGGGCCUGCACUGACGCUCAUGCACGAAAGCGUGGGGAGCAAACAGGAUUAGAUACCCGCGUAGUCCCUGUCUCUUAUAC
Molecule: ribosomal RNA, 301 nt
Filed under: uncultured bacterium
Lineage: Bacteria
Description: partial 16S ribosomal RNA
Rfam family: Bacterial small subunit ribosomal RNA
Source: RNAcentral